UACCUUUUCAGUUUCUGAGUCAGCAGGAGUGUUUCUUUUGCCGGAAAAUCAACAGCCUGAUCUCUCAUCCACUCACAUUUGUCAUCUUCCUACUGCAGGUGCAGAAGAAGUGAAUCUUUCAGAUUUCAAAACCCCAACACUCCCGUCAGAUGGCAGCUCAGACAUUGCAGCUCCGACCACUGGGCAACACCGGCCUCAACCUUAGCUCCGUCGGCUUCGGCGCUUCUCCUCUUGGCAAAGUCUUCGGCGAUGUCUCCGAACAAGACGCAUUCACCGCCGUGCGUGAAGCCUUUCGCCUUGGCGUCAAUUUCUUUGAUACUUCCCCGUACUCCUUCUCUCUCCUUCUCCUUCUUUUAUUUGUUAACAGAUGCAAAGAGAUAUAUCAGUCACUACAUUGGACUCUUUCACACAUAUAGUUGAAUUUAUUUUUUAAAAAAACAUAUUUUUAUAUAACGUCGGCAUCCACUGUUAGAAACCUUUCAGAAAACAUAGAUAUAGUUGAAAUUGUUUAACGAAAAUAUUCUUUUAUUUUACACAAUUGAUGUUACAAAUGAGUAGUGGAUGUAGUGCUAUUGAUUUAAAUGUUUGGAUCUGAUUCUGCACGUUUGAAUUUUACAAAGGAGCACGUAUCUCCACAUACGCUGAUUUAAGAUGUUGGUCCACUUCGGGAAUCAUUUUGCUGCUGAAUUCGAGAAUUAUAUGUGAACUUCUGAAAUUGUUGGUCUUUUACUUAAGUUGGUUAUCUUCAGGUAUUAUGGAGGAACAUUAUCAGAAAAGGUACUAGGGGAGGCUUUGCAGGUUCUUGGAGCGCCUAGAGAUGAGUACAUUGUGUCAACAAAGUGUGGGAGGUACAAAGAGGGGUCCAAAUUUAUAACCGGGGUCGGGGCGGGUUAUAAAUUUGGGUUGGGCGGGUUUAAACAAUUGACUGGGUGGGCUAAUCUGGACCAAUGUAAGACUGCCACGUGUUUAAAAAUAUUGAGGAAACAAGUUUUAACGGUGGAAGGGUAUAUGUGGCCCGAAUGUGUAACGGUGGGGGUAUAUUUGUUAGAGAAUUCAAACGGAGGAUAAAUGUAGCUUAUUUUGAAUAGUACAAGGGCAAAUCUGACCCUUAACCGUUUUGUAAAAGAAGUACUUACGAAAGUUUGAGUUUUAAGAUAAAAAUGAAUAUCCGAAAGGGGGCGAGAUGACUUUAUAUAGAGUAUAGACAGGAACUUUAGAUCACAGUUUGAUGAGUUGUUUAAUUUCUUGAUUUCGUUUUCUUUUUCUUUGUUGUAAAAUUAAU
Molecule: long non-coding RNA, 1282 nt
Filed under: Nicotiana benthamiana
Lineage: Eukaryota; Viridiplantae; Streptophyta; Magnoliopsida; Solanales; Solanaceae
Description: long non-coding RNA (NBEN_LNC032294)
Source: RNAcentral